GCGGCAGGCCUAAUACAUGCAAGUCGAGGGGCAGCAUAGUCUUCGGACUGAUGGCGACCGGCGCACGGGUGCGUAACGCGUAUGCAACCUACCCACAACUGGGGAAUAGCCCGGAGAAAUCCGGAUUAAUACCCCAUAAUGCAGGGGUACCUCCUGGUACUAUUUGCUAAAGAUUUAUCGGUUGUGGAUGGGCAUGCGUCUGAUUAGUUUGUUGGUGAGGUAACGGCUCACCAAGACCACGAUCAGUAGGGGGUCUGAGAGGAUGAUCCCCCACACUGGCACUGAGAUACGGGCCAGACUCCUACGGGAGGCAGCAGUAGGGAAUAUUGGGCAAUGGGCGAAAGCCUGACCCAGCCAUGCCGCGUGAAGGAUGAAGGCCUUCUGGGUUGUAAACUUCUUUUAUACAGGAAGAAAAAGGUCAUGCGUGACCAAUUGACGGUACUGUAUGAAUAAGCACCGGCUAACUCCGUGCCAGCAGCCGCGGUAAUACGGAGGGUGCAAGCGUUGUCCGGAUUUAUUGGGUUUAAAGGGUGCGUAGGCGGUGCGUUAAGUCAGUGGUGAAAUCUCUCGGCUCAACCGAGAAACUGCCAUUGAUACUGGCGCACUUGAGUACGGACGAGGUA
Molecule: ribosomal RNA, 623 nt
Filed under: uncultured Sphingobacteriia bacterium
Lineage: Bacteria; Pseudomonadati; Bacteroidota; Sphingobacteriia
Description: bacterial SSU rRNA
Rfam family: Bacterial small subunit ribosomal RNA
Source: RNAcentral